GGGGUAAUAGUUCAUAUGGUUAGAAUUUUGGUUUGUCAAACCAAAGGUUAUGGGUUCAAGUCCCAUUUAUCUCG
RNAcentral lists this transfer RNA (74 nucleotides) under Candidatus Vidania fulgoroideorum. RNAcentral's name for it is "tRNA-Asp". It matches the Rfam family "tRNA". Rfam says of the family: Transfer RNA (tRNA) molecules are approximately 80 nucleotides in length. Their secondary structure includes four short double-helical elements and three loops (D, anti-codon, and T loops). Further hydrogen bonds mediate the characteristic L-shaped molecular structure. tRNAs have two regions of fundamental functional importance: the anti-codon, which is responsible for specific mRNA codon recognition, and the 3' end, to which the tRNAs corresponding amino acid is attached (by aminoacyl-tRNA synthetases). tRNAs cope with the degeneracy of the genetic code in two manners: having more than one tRNA (with a specific anti-codon) for a particular amino acid; and 'wobble' base-pairing, i.e. permitting non-standard base-pairing at the 3rd anti-codon position. The record is from RNAcentral. Lineage: Bacteria; Pseudomonadati; Pseudomonadota; Betaproteobacteria.